AUUGAACGCUGGCGGCAUGCCUUACACAUGCAAGUCGAACGGCAGCGCGGGGCAACCUGGCGGCGAGUGGCGAACGGGUGAGUAACAUAUCGGAACAUACCCUAGAGUGGGGGAUAACGUAGCGAAAGUUACGCUAAUACCGCAUACGCACUAAGGUGGAAAGUGGGGGAUUCGCAAGAACCUCAUGCUCAUGGAGUGGCCGAUAUCUGAUUAGCUAGUUGGUGAGGUAAAGGCUCACCAAGGCGACGAUCAGUAGCUGGUUUGAGAGAACGACCAGCCACACUGGAACUGAGACACGGUCCAGACUCCUACGGAGGCAGCAGUGGGGAAUUUUUGGGACAAUGGGGGCAACCCUGAUCCAGCAAUGCCGCGUGAGUGAAGAAGCCCUUUGGGUGUAAAGCUCUGUCGGCUGGAACGAAAAAAAUGACGGUACCAGCAAAGGAAGCAUCGGCUAACUACGUGCCAGCAGCC
This 471-nucleotide ribosomal RNA is filed under the name uncultured bacterium. RNAcentral's name for it is "bacterial SSU rRNA". It matches the Rfam family "Bacterial small subunit ribosomal RNA", at positions 30 to 516 of the family's 1533-position model. The record is from RNAcentral.